Long non-coding RNA from Ictalurus punctatus (channel catfish), 761 nucleotides. The record is from Ensembl. Lineage: Eukaryota; Metazoa; Chordata; Actinopteri; Siluriformes; Ictaluridae.
UAAGCAAGAGAGGGAGCAGGAGAAGAGGCAUCCGGAGGAGAAGCUCAGAGAGAAGGAGGAGCCGAAGAAAAGGUAGCAGAGAGAAAGAAAGGAAAUACUUACAGAGGAUAUAACAGAAAGGAGAAGUCAGUUGGGAGUUGCCCAGCCUGUUGUAGAACUGCACUCUGACUCUGGACUGGAACAGCAGCCUAAAAGGGGUAGAAAGAUAUCUUCCUGCACAGAAGCCAAAGACUCACUUUUGGAGGGUGCCAGAGAACUUGACGAAGGAGGCAAAAAGAAAGCCAAAGAUGGCAAAGACAGCAAGCCAACUGGCCAUGAUAAUUCUUUACUGCCACUGGAUGAACUGGAGAAAGAGCUGCUGAACAUCAACUCCUUUUCCCCCCCGCCUUUGAAGAUUUUGGACCUGAAUACUCGCUAUCAGCUUGCAUACCUCUCUGUGGAUUUGGCCCUCCUGGUUGAGGUUCUCUGUACUCCCUCUGACCUUUCUGGGUUUCCACCACUGUUGAGAUACAGGAUCAGUCCAGCUAAGGUGUAUGCGGAUGCUUCCACUCAAACUGAUCCCUGCCUGGUUAUCUCACCUGACAAUUCACCUGACCAUCAUGCUGAUGAUGACAUGACCUAUUCUGAUCCUGACUCUGUUCCCUUUUCCCCCAGUAGCCCUGGCUACACUCCUCCUUACCUGUCAGCACGUUCUGGUUCUUCCCCUGGUCACACGCCUUAUUAGCCCUUUUCACCUCUCAACUACUCUCCCACCAGUCCUG